This 497-nucleotide ribosomal RNA is filed under the name uncultured bacterium. RNAcentral's name for it is "partial 16S ribosomal RNA". It matches the Rfam family "Bacterial small subunit ribosomal RNA", at positions 28 to 507 of the family's 1533-position model. The record is from RNAcentral.
GAUGAACGCUGGCGGCGUGCCUAAUACAUGCAAGUCGAGCGAACAGACGAGGAGCUUGCUCCUUUGACGUUAGCGGCGGACGGGUGAGUAACACGUGGGUAACCUACCUAUAAGACUGGGAUAACUUCGGGAAACCGGAGCUAAUACCGGAUAAUAUUUCGAACCGCAUGGUUCGAUAGUGAAAGAUGGCUUUGCUAUCACUUAUAGAUGGACCUGCGCCGUAUUAGCUAGUUGGUAAGGUAACGGCUUACCAGGGCAACGAUACGUAGCCGACCUGAGAGGGUGAUCGGCCACACUGGAACUGAGACACGGUCCAGACUCCUACGGGAGGCAGCAGUAGGGAAUCUUCCGCAAUGGGCGAAAGCCUGACGGAGCAACGCCGCGUGAGUGAUGAAGGUCUUCGGAUCGUAAAACUCUGUUAUUAGGGAAGAACAAACGUGUAAGUAACUGUGCACGUCUUGACGGUACCUAAUCAGAAAGCCACGGCUAACUACGUG